GCGGGAGGCGGCGCUACCGGCUCCCGGCUCCAAUCUCCCGUCUGCUACCUAGCCCCUGCCCCGCGCCCGGCCCCUACACCUCGUGGAGAGCGGCCUGGCUCCGCAUCUCGGGCCGUCCAGGCCCUGCAGGUCAGGGCCCCUGCGGGACUGACUGCGGCUCCCGGUAGACGGCUCCCAGCCCGCGGACAGCAGGCAGGAGGCCAAGGUAACAGCUCACUACCUGGAGACCCUCAUGCUGUGCAGAACCCCAAGCCACACUUGCUGAGAGGGCUAAUGGAAGGGACACACGACCAGCCCCCAGCCAGCCCAGCCACUCCACUCGAGCUGUCAUACAACAGCAAAAGGAUGUCUUAGAUGCUCUGUCCCAGUCAGAUCCCACGCAGAGAACAGCCCCCGGCUGAGUGCAGCCUCGUUUUCAGAGCUCACCCUCUGUGAUCUCGCCAGCGGAGCAACCCGGACCCUCAGGGAGUGAGAACAGAGGCCGCCAGCCCUCCUUAGAGCCUGCAGCUGGUGUGGCAUCUCUCUCUGGCAGCUCAGGCAAGUCAAGGGGCCGGGUCGGAUCCAACGGGAGGCCGUGGGGCCCGCCGGCUGAAUGCGGUUGUUGGGGGGCAGCAUUCCUGCAGAUGUAGGAGGGGCUGCCAAAUCCGCUGGGAAGCAGGGUCCUCGGAGGACAGGAGUCAUGAGAA
Molecule: long non-coding RNA, 686 nt
Organism: Phacochoerus africanus (Common warthog)
Lineage: Eukaryota; Metazoa; Chordata; Mammalia; Artiodactyla; Suidae
Exons: 3
Source: RefSeq, a predicted model, not a curated record